Molecule: ribosomal RNA, 427 nt
Filed under: uncultured bacterium
Lineage: Bacteria
Description: bacterial SSU rRNA
Rfam family: Bacterial small subunit ribosomal RNA
Source: RNAcentral
UGGGGAAUUUUGGACAAUGGGCGCAAGCCUGAUCCAGCCAUGCCGCGUGCAGGAUGAAGGCCUUCGGGUUGUAAACUGCUUUUGUACGGAACGAAAAGUCUCUUUCUAAUAAAGAGGGAUCAUGACGGUACCGUAAGAAUAAGCACCGGCUAACUACGUGCCAGCAGCCGCGGUAAUACGUAGGGUGCAAGCGUUAAUCGGAAUUACUGGGCGUAAAGCGUGCGCAGGCGGUGAUGUAAGACAGAUGUGAAAUCCCCGGGCUCAACCUGGGAACUGCAUUUGUGACUGCACAGCUGGAGUGCGGCAGAGGGGGAUGGAAUUCCGCGUGUAGCAGUGAAAUGCGUAGAUAUGCGGAGGAACACCGAUGGCGAAGGCAAUCCCCUGGGCCUGCACUGACGCUCAUGCACGAAAGCGUGGGGAGCAAACA